Molecule: ribosomal RNA, 301 nt
Filed under: uncultured bacterium
Lineage: Bacteria
Description: partial 16S ribosomal RNA
Rfam family: Bacterial small subunit ribosomal RNA
Source: RNAcentral
CAGCCGCCGCGGUAAUACGGAGGGUGCAAGCGUUAUCCGGAUUUAUUGGGUUUAAAGGGUCCGUAGGCGGAUCUGUAAGUCAGUGGUGAAAUCUCACAGCUUAACUGUGAAACUGCCAUUGAUACUGCAGGUCUUGAGUAAAUUUGAAGUGGCUGGAAUAAGUAGUGUAGCGGUGAAAUGCAUAGAUAUUACUUAGAACACCAAUUGCGAAGGCAGGUUACUAAGAUUUAACUGACGCUGAUGGACGAAAGCGUGGGGAGCGAACAGGAUUAGAUACCCCAGUAGUCCCUGUCUCUUAUAC